UACGUAGGUGGCAAGCGUUGUCCGGAUUUACUGGGCGUAAAGCGCGUGUAGGCGGCCCGGUAAGUCCGCUGUGAAAGUCCAGGGCUCAACCCUGGGAUGCCGGUGGAUACUGUCGGGCUCGAGUCCGGAAGAGGCGAGUGGAAUUCCUGGUGUAGCGGUGAAAUGCGCAGAUAUCAGGAGGAACACCAAUGGCGAAGGCAGCUCGCUGGGACGUGACUGACGCUGAGACGCGAAAGCGUGGGGAGCGAACAGG
RNAcentral lists this ribosomal RNA (253 nucleotides) under uncultured bacterium. RNAcentral describes it as "partial 16S ribosomal RNA". It matches the Rfam family "Bacterial small subunit ribosomal RNA", at positions 524 to 776 of the family's 1533-position model. The record is from RNAcentral.